UGUCAGACAGGAAUCUGAAUCCACUUAAUUAUUUAUUUAAUGUUUAUUUGACAGGGACAAAUGCAUAGAACAUUGCUUUAUAAAGAAUACAAAGUAGAUGCCAUGCAUACAGGUUUAUAGCCAUGACUAAUUUGCAA
Sander lucioperca (pikeperch) is the source of this 137-nucleotide long non-coding RNA. RefSeq lists it as uncharacterized. Lineage: Eukaryota; Metazoa; Chordata; Actinopteri; Perciformes; Percidae. The transcript has 3 exons. The record is from RefSeq and is a predicted model, not a curated record.